ACCAUUCUCAACUCAAUCAUUCACUAUCAAACUCUUCUAUAUAGGUCUAAUACUGACCUUUCCCACAAUUCACCAUCUCAAUUAAUCAACAUACUAGAAAUCAUAUGUCUAAACUUAAGAAUCCUAAUCUCUUUAAAUAUCCACACUUAACUCGAUCAUCUAACUAAACUCGAUGCUUCACUCACAUCUCUAGACUAUUCCUAAAUAGUCCGACCAUACCUCUAUGUGAGGUUACACCACAUUCUUCUCUAGAAAACCUAUAACUAUAAUCUAUAUUCUAAUUUCAAAUACUUAUAACCUGUUGCUCUGAUACCAACUGUGACAGUCC
This 328-nucleotide long non-coding RNA is filed under the name Daucus carota (carrot). RNAcentral describes it as "long non-coding RNA (DCAR_LNC004922)". Lineage: Eukaryota; Viridiplantae; Streptophyta; Magnoliopsida; Apiales; Apiaceae. The record is from RNAcentral.